UGCAAGUCGAGCGAACAGAUAAGGAGCUUGCUCCUUUGACGUUAGCGGCGGACGGGUGAGUAACACGUGGGUAACCUACCUAUAAGACUGGAAUAACUCCGGGAAACCGGGGCUAAUGCCGGAUAACAUGUUGAACCGCAUGGUUCUACAGUGAAAGACGGUCUUGCUGUCACUUAUAGAUGGACCCGCGCCGUAUUAGCUAGUUGGUGGGGUAACGGCCUACCAAGGCGACGAUACGUAGCCGACCUGAGAGGGUGAUCGGCCACACUGGAACUGAGACACGGUCCAGACUCCUACGGGAGGCAGCAGUAGGGAAUCUUCCGCAAUGGGCGAAAGCCUGACGGAGCAACGCCGCGUGAGUGAUGAAGGUCUUCGGAUCGUAAAGCUCUGUUGUUAGGGAAGAACAAAUGUGUAAGUAACUGUGCACAUCUUGACGGUACCUAACCAGAAAGCCACGGCUAACUACGUGCCAGCAGCCGCGGUAAUACGUAGGUGGCAAGCGUUAUCCGGAAUUAUUGGGCGUAAAGCGCGCGUAGGCGGUUUUUUAAGUCUGAUGUGAAAGCCCACGGCUCAACCGUGGAGGGUCAUUGGAAACUGGAAAACUUGAGUGCAGAAGAGGAAAGUGGAAUUCCAUGUGUAGCGGUGAAAUGCGCAGAGAUAUGGAGGAACACCAGUGGCGAAGGCGGCUUUCUGGUCUGCAACUGACGCUGAUGUGCGAAAGCGUGGGGAUCAAACAGGAUUAGAUACCCUGGUAGUCCACGCCGUAAACGAUGAGUGCUAAGUGUUAGGGGGUUUCCGCCCCUUAGUGCUGCAGCUAACGCAUUAAGCACUCCGCCUGGGGAGUACGGUCGCAAGACUGAAACUCAAAGGAAUUGACGGGGACCCGCACAAGCGGUGGAGCAUGUGGUUUAAUUCGAAGCAACGCGAAGAACCUUACCAAAUCUUGACAUCCUUUGACCGCUCUAGAGAUAGAGUUUUCCUCUUCGGAGGACAAAGUGACAGGUGGUGCAUGGUUGUCGUCAGCUCGUGUCGUGAGAUGUUGGGUUAAGUCCCGCAACGAGCGCAACCCUUGAACUUAGUUGCCAUCAUUCAGUUGGGCACUCUAAGUUGACUGCCGGUGACAAACCGGAGGAAGGUGGGGAUGACGUCAAAUCAUCAUGCCCCUUAUGAUUUGGGCUACACACGUGCUACAAUGGACAAUACAAAGGGCAGCGAAACCGCGAGGUCAAGCAAAUCCCAUAAAGUUGUUCUCAGUUCGGAUUGUAGUCUGCAACUCGACUACA
This 1283-nucleotide ribosomal RNA is filed under the name Staphylococcus pseudintermedius. RNAcentral describes it as "bacterial SSU rRNA". It matches the Rfam family "Bacterial small subunit ribosomal RNA", at positions 56 to 1320 of the family's 1533-position model. The record is from RNAcentral. Lineage: Bacteria; Bacillati; Bacillota; Bacilli; Caryophanales; Staphylococcaceae.